CUUUAUGUAAGCUAAGAAAAGCUGUUGGGCCCAUAACCCAAAAAUAGUUAAACUCGUAAAGA
Molecule: transfer RNA, 62 nt
Filed under: Praticolella mexicana
Lineage: Eukaryota; Metazoa; Mollusca; Gastropoda; Stylommatophora; Polygyridae
Description: tRNA-Met
Source: RNAcentral